GGGGGGCGAGGUCAAAUCAUGAUGUGGCGGGGGGUCGAGGUCAAAUCAUGAUGUGGGGGGGGCGAGGUCAAAUCAUGAUGUGGGGGGGACAAGAGACGCCUCUGUGGAGACCCCUCUGUGGAGGUGGAGACCCCUCUGUGGAGGUGGAGACCCCUCUGUGGAGACCCCUCUGUGGAGGUGGAGACCCCUCUGUGGAGACCCCUCUGUGGAGGUGGAGACCCCUCUGUGGAGACCCCUCUGUGGAGGUGGAGACCCCUCUGUGGCGGUGGAGACCCCUCUGUGGCGGUGGAGACCCCUCUGUGGAGGUGGAGACCCCUCUGUGGAGGUGGAGACCCCUCUGUGGCGGAUAUUGAUUCAGAUGUUUCUGGAGCCAUGACAUGAGAAAAUGUGUUUUUCAUUUUAUUUGUUUAUUAGGAUCCCCAUUAGCUAGCUAGGGGACAGCAAGUCUUACUGGGGAAACAACAUAUAAUGAAAAAUACUUUACAGACAAAUUACUUUACAGUUUAAAUACAUUUAAAAACAGUAACAUAUAAUGUGUGUGUAUUUAUCAGUGACACAUACAUGUCAGUACACACACAACCAGUAGGUCACAUGUCAGUACACACGACCAGUAGGUCACAUGUCAGUACAAACACACAACCAGUAGGUCACAUAUCAGUACAAACACACGACCAGUAGGUCACAUAUCAGUACACACACACACGACCAGUAGGUCACAUAUCAGUACACACACACACGACCAGUAGGUCACAUAUCAGUACACACAACCAGUAGGUCACAUGUCAGCAGCAGCACGGCCAGGUGGACUGGGGACAUGUCAGUACAUGUUCCAUGCACUCAUGGCUCUGGAUAAUACUGCACGUUUUCUUGAAUUUGUUCUGGAUUUGGGGACUGUGAAAAGACCCCUGGUGGCAUGUCUGGUGGGGUAAGUGUGUGUGUGUCAGUGCUGUGUGUGUAAGUUGACUAUGCAAACAAUUUGGAAUUUCCAACACAUGAAUGUUUCUUUAUAAAAAUAAAAAAAAACAGUUUCUCGACUCUUAGCCAAGAGAGACGCAUGUGUAGUAUUAAUAUCAGCCCUCUGAUUACAGUGAAGAGCCAAGACGGGCCGCUCUGUUCUGGACCAGCUGCAGCUUAACUAGGUCUUUGCAGCACUCGACCACACGACUGGACAAUAAUCAAGAUAAGAUAAAACUAGAGCCUGCAGAACUUGCUUUGUGGAGUGUGGUGUCAAAAAAGCAGAGCAUCUCUUUAUUACGGACAGACCUCAUUCCCCCAUCUUUACAACCAUUGAAUCUGUAUGUUUUGACCUUGUUGACAGUUUACAAUGUAAGGUAACAACAAGUAAUUUAGUCUCCUCAACUUGUUCAACAGCCACACCAUUCAUUACCAGAUUCAGC
This 1397-nucleotide long non-coding RNA is filed under the name Salmo salar (Atlantic salmon). RNAcentral's name for it is "lncRNA (ENSSSAG00000092017.1, ENSSSAG00000119064.1)". The record is from RNAcentral. Lineage: Eukaryota; Metazoa; Chordata; Actinopteri; Salmoniformes; Salmonidae.